RNAcentral lists this ribosomal RNA (978 nucleotides) under Aenictolixa exilis. RNAcentral's name for it is "eukaryotic LSU rRNA". It matches the Rfam family "Eukaryotic large subunit ribosomal RNA", at positions 81 to 812 of the family's 3401-position model. The record is from RNAcentral. Lineage: Eukaryota; Metazoa; Arthropoda; Insecta; Coleoptera; Staphylinidae.
CAGUAACGGCGAGCGAACAGGGAAAAGCCCAGCACUGAAUCGCGCGCCCGCUGGGACGCUGCGAAAUGUAGUGUUUGGGAGGGUCCGCUAUUCCGCGGUUUGGCGAUGCGUCCAAGUCCUUCUUGAACGGGGCCAUUUACCCAUAGAGGGUGCCAGGCCCGUAGCGACCGUUGCCGGCUGCGGAAGGAUCUCUCCUUAGAGUCGGGUUGCUUGAGAGUGCAGCCCUAAGUAGGUGGUAAACUCCAUCUAAGGCUAAAUAUGACCACGAGACCGAUAGCGAACAAGUACCGUGAGGGAAAGUUGAAAAGAACUUUGAAGAGAGAGUUCAAUAGUACGUGAAACCGUUUAGGGGUAAACCUGAGAAACCCGAAAGUUCGAACGAGGAGAUUCAGCGUGUCUCGGCCGGCGCGAGUGCCGCUUGGUAGACGGACGUCUUUCGGGGCGGUCGCUCCUCGCGUUUGCACCGCUGCUGGCCGAACGCGUGCACUUCUCCUCCAGUAGGACGCCGCGACCCGUUGGGUGUCGGUCUGAGGCUCGCGGUGGAGUCCGUGCGUCGGCUUCGGUCGUGCGUGCGGACCCGUGUUAUCCCGGCCGGCGGCCCGACGGUAGACUGGAGGCGUAGAGCCGCGACCAGUUCGCGUUCGGCCCAGCGCAAGCGCGGCCGGUUACUCGUUGUGUCGGACUUGCGCCGAUCUCGGGGCCGGUCGGCUGUUGGCGUUUGGUGCUCCCGGACAGACUCUGCACACGCCUGUCAGCGGCGCUAUAGCUUUGGGUACUUUCAGGACCCGUCUUGAAACACGGACCAAGGAGUCUAGCAUGUGCGCGAGUCAUUGGGACCAAUGAAUCCUAAAGGCGCAAUGAAAGUAAAGGCACGAGCUUUGCUCGGCCGAGGGACGAUGGGUGGCAUCUGCCGUCUCGCAAUCCCGGGGCGUCUCGUUCUCAUUGCGAGAAGAGGCGCACCUAGAGCGUACACGCUGG